GCCGCGGUAGCUCAGCUGGGAGAGCGUGCGGCUGAAGACCGCAAGGUCGAGGGUUCGACCCCCUCCCGCGGCA
This 73-nucleotide transfer RNA is filed under the name Thermoplasmatales archaeon. RNAcentral's name for it is "tRNA-Phe". It matches the Rfam family "tRNA". Rfam says of the family: Transfer RNA (tRNA) molecules are approximately 80 nucleotides in length. Their secondary structure includes four short double-helical elements and three loops (D, anti-codon, and T loops). The record is from RNAcentral. Lineage: Archaea; Methanobacteriati; Thermoplasmatota; Thermoplasmata; Thermoplasmatales. RNAcentral also lists the same sequence under 1 other name.